This 210-nucleotide ribosomal RNA is filed under the name Actinotignum timonense. RNAcentral describes it as "partial 16S ribosomal RNA". It matches the Rfam family "Bacterial small subunit ribosomal RNA", at positions 1 to 205 of the family's 1533-position model. Lineage: Bacteria; Bacillati; Actinomycetota; Actinomycetes; Actinomycetales; Actinomycetaceae. The record is from RNAcentral.
UAUGGAGAGUUUGAUCCUGGCUCAGGACGAACGCUGGCGGCGUGCUUAACACAUGCAAGUCGAACGAUGAAGCCUGCAACUUGUUGUGGGUGGAUUAGUGGCGAACGGGUGAGUAAUACGUGGGUAACCUGCCCUCCUUUUUGGGAUAAGCCUUGGAAACGGGGUCUAAUACCGAAUAUUCUGGCGCUCUCGCAUGGGGGUGUUGGGAAA